This 596-nucleotide ribosomal RNA is filed under the name uncultured bacterium. RNAcentral describes it as "bacterial SSU rRNA". It matches the Rfam family "Bacterial small subunit ribosomal RNA", at positions 166 to 776 of the family's 1533-position model. The record is from RNAcentral.
AUACCAGAUAUUAUGAGAUUCUCGCAUGAGAAACUUAUGAAAGCUAUAUGCGCCAAGAGAGAGCCUUGCGUUCCAUUAGCUAGUUGGUGGGGUAACGGCCCACCAAGGCGACGAUGGAUAGCCGGCCUGAGAGGGUGAACGGCCACAAGGGGACUGAGACACGGCCCUUACUCCUACGGGAGGCAGCAGUGGGGAAUAUUGGACAAUGGGCCACAAGCCUGAUCCAGCAAUUCUGUGUGCACGAUGAAGGUCUUCGGAUUGUAAAGUGCUUUCAGUUGGGAAGAAGAAAGUGACGGUACCAACAGAAGAAGCGACGGCUAAAUACGUGCCAGCAGCCGCGGUAAUACGUAUGUCGCAAGCGUUAUCCGGAUUUAUUGGGCGUAAAGCGCGUCUAGGCGGAAAAAUAAGUCUGAUGUUAAAAUGCGGGGCUCAACUCCGUAUUGCGUUGGAAACUGUUUUUCUAGAGUACUGGAGAGGUGGGCGGAACUACAAGUGUAGAGGUGAAAUUCGUAGAUAUUUGUAGGAAUGCCGAUGGAGAAGUCAGCUCACUGGACAGAUACUGACGCUGAAGCGCGAAAGCGUGGGGAGCAAACAGG